RNAcentral lists this small nuclear RNA (343 nucleotides) under Propithecus coquereli (Coquerel's sifaka). Its description in RNAcentral is "7SK RNA (ENSPCOG00000006401.1)". It matches the Rfam family "7SK RNA". Rfam says of the family: 7SK was discovered as an abundant small nuclear RNA in the mid-70s but a possible function has only recently been suggested. Two independent studies have found that 7SK RNA binds the CDK9/cyclin T complex (known as elongation factor P-TEFb). The record is from Rfam by way of RNAcentral. Lineage: Eukaryota; Metazoa; Chordata; Mammalia; Primates; Indriidae.
GGAUGUGAGGGAGAUCUGGCUGUGACAUCUGUCACCCCAUUGAUCGCCAGGGUUGAUUUGGCUGAUCUGGCUGGCUAGGUGGGUGUCCCCUUCCUCCCUCACCGCUCCAUAUGCGUCCCUCCCAAAGCUGCGUGCUCAAAGAGGAUGACCUUUCCCGAUAGAGGAGGACCAUUUUUUGGUCAAGGGUAUACGAGUAGCUGUGCUCCCUUGCUAGAACCUCCAAACUCUCAGAAUGAAAAAAAAAGACCAUACGAUCAUCUCAACAGAUGCAGAAAAAGCAUUCAAUAAAAUCCAGCAACCUUCAUGAUCAAAACCCUCAAUGAACUAGGCAUAGAAGGAAUAU